Hirundo rustica (Barn swallow) is the source of this 2285-nucleotide long non-coding RNA. RefSeq lists it as uncharacterized. NCBI's taxonomy places the organism in Eukaryota, Metazoa, Chordata, Aves, Passeriformes, Hirundinidae. The record is from RefSeq and is a predicted model, not a curated record. The transcript has 2 exons.
GCCGGGAACCAUGGAAAGGAGCCGGGACGGGAGACAGACCAGAGCGAGACCGCGAACGGCAGUAGCUCAGAGCCUCCAGUUCCCUCGCGGCUCUCCAAACCUUCCAGACAUGCUGCAGGAAGAACUCCACUCCUCUGGGCACCACGGCCUCCCACAGCACCCUGCCACAGCCAGAGACUGCUCGGGUGCACGGCUGUGGGUGCUGGAGCUCGAGCACGUGUGGGAUGGUCCAGAGCUCUCACAGGACAGCUCUUGGUGCUGAGAUUUGUCCCACUCCAUUGUUUCAUCUGCGUCCGGGAGCUGAGCCGUCCUGGGUAAAGAUGUGGAAGGCUGUGACAGGGAACACAGAGUAAGAGUGGAAAUACUGGAGGCAAAUCUUCGCUUUUCAGCGCCUACCCAACAUGUGCCUCAUCAUUUUCUUCUCCAAGUUAGCGCAGAUCAGACUCUUCCGAGGCACAGUGCCUUACAGUGAGCUUUGGUGCCUGCAAUCUCCUCCUAAUCCAGGCUUGUUUCAGGGAAAACAGGCAAUUUUAUAUCCCUUUGAUAUGGGUCUGGCUGCUAAUGAUGCUAGGAAGUAAAAAGAAAUGGGCAUAGAAAUACACAACUAGGAAGAAUUAAAAGAGUGAAUUUAAUUCAGCCAAUUCCAACAAAAUUGGUAAUUCCCUGAAAAACAAACCUUGCACAAAAAACAGAAAAGAGAAAUGGUUUCAUCUUGACAGCUGGUGAGAACAACUGGGUGAAAAGGUGAAUGGAAUACAUUUGACUUCUCUGGAAAACAAAAGGUUUCACACAUCCUGAAAAUGCCCUAUUUUUUACUAAAUGGGUCGGUUUGGGAGGGAGUGAUUGUAAAUGCUCUGCAAGGAAAGCACGGGUCUGUGCUCUGACACAACCAGUGACUGCAGAUGCCAAAUGUCUGGUUCUCAGAAAGCUUCCCUAAAGGAAAAGCUGGGACUUCUAAAAAUCACAGAAACACGGAACGGUUUGGGCUGGAAGGGAAACUCAAAGCCCACCAAGAGCAGGGACACAUUCCACUAGACUGGCCCAGAAACCUGAAGAACAACAACAACAACAAAUCCGUUGUGUUUUAAGCAUCAUAAGCCUGGCUUGCCCAGUGGUCCUGACUGGGGCUUCAGGGCGAUGCAGAGUCCGACGAGAGGACGCGAGGCUGCGGCUGUCGCCAGGCGUGUGGAGGGAGCUGGCUGGGCAGCCUGGCUCAGCUCCUCCAGCACUGGAACACUCUUUCCAGAGCAAUACCAAAAAAGGUUUGUUUCUAGGUCAGGACCUCAGCACUCAAUUUUAACCAGGGGCUGACAGUCCAAUCUGAACACAGCUGUAAAACGGAUUCGCGGGAGAAGCUUUGGCAUUCCUUUUGUAAUUAGAAAACAGCCACUGAGCCGUGUGCCUUUAAAGGUGAAAGCUAUUUUUGACAUAAAAAUUAGCACGUAGUUCCUCUGUCAUCCCUCGGCUGCUGCGCUGGGAGCUGUGAGUGAACAAUCCAAAGAUAAGCAAGAAGUAUAAACAUGCUGAAUUACACAAAUAGGUAGAAGGGGGAUCGGGUUUAAUUUGUUUUAUUCUCUGACAGUUAGGAGACGAAGACAUUUAUUUUUACACUUUUUCUCCUAAAAAGCACUGGUUAAAAGGUCCACUUAAGCACUGAAACCCCAAUGGCAUUUAAAAACUUGAAGUGCUUUUAAUAGCUGCCUUUUGAAAAUGCUGUUAAAUCUAUUUUUGAGAUGGAUAAACUAAGCUACCAAUGAAGCAGGGCAGGAGUUUUUGGAAGGGCCCAGCAGUGAGAAACUGUCGUUCAUUUCUCAACAACUCAGCUCCUGUACAGGGACCCUGAGAUAAAAACUACCACAGUGCUCGAUGCUUUAAAAACCUGAGCGUCCUUUAAACUCCAAUUUUCUCUCUUUGGUGGGAAUAUAACCCCGGCAGCCUUGAAAAUGAACCCCAGGCAGUUUUCAGGAUAGGGCUUAGAGUGGCUGUUUCUAAAAUAAAAGUGAGGGAAGAGCGAGCAGAACUUGGAGGCUUAUCAGCACCCGGAAUGCCCCGGCUAAUCCUCGGCAGCCCCGGCCCCUUUAUGUAACCUGGGAUUGCUGCAGCUCAACAGCUUACUGGGGUCUGGGUGGUUUUCUUUAAACCUCUUGUGGACAAAUGCAAACACAUUAAAUACUUCUUUCUUUUGCCUCUCUAAGGAAAAAAAAAAAUGCUGUAAGAGGGAAAAAAAAAAUUGUUUUUUUUGUAUCAAGGGCUAAUAGAAUUAAACUCGUAUGCUGAGACUAAAA